RNAcentral lists this transfer RNA (77 nucleotides) under candidate division TA06 bacterium SM1_40. RNAcentral's name for it is "tRNA-His". It matches the Rfam family "tRNA". Rfam says of the family: Transfer RNA (tRNA) molecules are approximately 80 nucleotides in length. Their secondary structure includes four short double-helical elements and three loops (D, anti-codon, and T loops). The record is from RNAcentral.
GCUGGGGUAGCUCAGUUGGAAAGAGCGCCUGACUGUGGAUCAGGAGGUCACGGGUUCAAGUCCCGUCCCCAGUGCCA